UCCUCUUGCUCUCCCUCCUUCUCCUCCGCUAGUUGCCAGUAGUACCUUGUUGCAGUAGAUCAGCCCUAACUAGGCAGCACUCGGCCCCAGGCAGGCAGAAAGGGCAGAUCACGCCACAGAGCUGCUGGAGGAGGAAGAGACGCACAAAACAGGAAAAGGAUCAGCCACCAAAAAGGAGAAGACAACUAAACUAUCGGCUCUCAAAAGAGCAAAGGAGGACCUGACGAAAGACAACUAAACUAUCGGCUGCCUUUGGUUUUGAUUUGUGUUUGAACAUCCACCCAAGGAGGGCAUCGCGUGAGCAUGGCCAGCUGUGGCUGCUGUUUCUGGGGCAUUGUGUGGCUGAUUGUGCUGCUGGUGAUUGGCUGGCCGCUGAGCAUCUUCCUGGGGGGCCUGUACGGCUUCAUCGCCCCACUGACGGCCUGCGUGGGGCUGGACCGGCUGGCCGAACUGCUGAUGGAGGGGGCCAACCUGGGCCGCACCUGCGCCCAAAACAUGCGGCAUGGGAAACCGCUGUGCUGAGGCCCACCUGUAGGCUAGUGCACACCUGUGAUGAAGCUAACCUGACCCCACACACACAUAGAUACCCAUGCAGAUAUACACUUCAAGAAUAGAUCAUCAAACUAAUCAUUCUAAUGUUACAUUUAUUUAGAUUAGAUUACAUGUUUAACUUAACUUUAGGUCCUGGUCCUCAAAACACAAUGCUUUGUAACAUACAAACGAGCAGUCAGUAUCACCCAUUGUGACAUGUCAGCAUUUUAUGUGUACAAAUAUUUUAGUGAAACAGUAUAGUAAAAGGUCAAUGCAUCUUACUUGAUGUUAACACCAUUCAGUUCCACCAAAGUGCCUGUGCUGUUCCAGAGUUCCUCUUGUGGUGCACUAUACGUGCUUUAGUGGAUAAUACCGUGUGCUUUGUAUGCUAAAUGUGACAAGUGUGUACAAUGGUGCUGUAUGUUUCUGUUUCUUUUCAAAACGAAAGUCUUGUAUGUGUGAUAUGGACCUCAUUACCUGAAGUGCCUGUAUUUGUGAUAUUGAAUGCUGUUUUGGAGUUGAUGCAGACUUCGCUAGUUCUCCCUGGGACCAAUUUGUAUUUUGAUGAAACUGAUAUAUUGAAGUAUUGAGUCAAUGAAGUAAAACCAAUUCUGCCUUAAUAUUAAAA
Long non-coding RNA from Alosa alosa (allis shad), 1159 nucleotides. RefSeq lists it as uncharacterized. The transcript has 2 exons. Lineage: Eukaryota; Metazoa; Chordata; Actinopteri; Clupeiformes; Clupeidae. The record is from RefSeq and is a predicted model, not a curated record.